This 324-nucleotide ribosomal RNA is filed under the name uncultured eukaryote. RNAcentral's name for it is "partial 18S ribosomal RNA". It matches the Rfam family "Eukaryotic small subunit ribosomal RNA", at positions 1470 to 1796 of the family's 1831-position model. The record is from RNAcentral.
CCCUUAGACGUUCUGGGCCGCACGCGCGCUACACUGGCCGGUGCAACAAGCAUCCGUCCUUGGCCGACAGGCCCGGGCAAUCUUUGAACGCCGGUCGUGAUGGGGAUAGACUUUUGCAAUUUUUGGUCUUCAACGAGGAAUUCCUAGUAAACGCAAGUCAUCAACUUGCAUUGAUUACGUCCCUGCCCUUUGUACACACCGCCCGUCGCUCCUACCGAUCGAAGAGUUAGGUGAAUUGUUUUGAUCGAUAAGAUUUGACUAUGGUCAACUCUCGUUGUGAAAUUCUGUGAAUCUGACUGUUUAGAGGAAGGAAAAGUCGUAACA